UGGCUGGGGUAAGAUAAGAAAGAUAAGUUGAGCCCAGACUGAAAAUCCUGUGUGUUCAGACUGGCCCAGAGGCAAGCAAGAAGCCCUUAAAAGUUUGAGUAGAUGUCACAAAUAUGAUUAAGGCAUUAUGACUAACAGAUCAGGGCAGAAAGUAGAGAAUGGUAGCCACUGGACCAAUUCAUGAGGAGGUCAGCUGCAUAAGAUCAAUGUUGAAGACAAGUUAGGGAAGGGAAAAUUCUGCACCUGAAGGACAGGGAAAACAUCAACAUAACUUUAAAUGGAGUGGUGGGCGGGAAUUAAAGAUGAUGGUAAGGUUUUCUGCUGGGUUUACUGGGAGAAAUAUUUGUAUUCCUACAAAGCAUGUGGGACAGAGGAAUAAAAAUAAGGGGUUUGGUUUCAGACACAUUCAACGUGAGGUGGUAAAAAGCAUUUCAAAUGAAGGUUUCCAAGAGGCCGUCAGAACCAGGAUUCCUGAUUUGAAGCCAGCACAGCCUCAAGGAAAAAGCUGCGGCCAUGUGUGAGCACACAGGAAGGAGCCGAGGAAAGGGAGAGAAUAAAGGUACUGAGGAAGGAAAGUACCGGAAGUCAGAAGAGAACAGGCACAUGGACACAGAGCAGAGGCAUGGAACGGAUGACAGUCUUGUCCCAUACGUGGAGAGAGGCAGAAAGUGUGCGCACAGAAGCACUUAUGUCGGCGUUACAGGAGGGUUCCAUGCAGGGACUGCAUUCUGGUAUCCACUAUCCAGUUACGACAUUAGAACAAAGCAAGAAAUGAAGCACCAGUGUUUUCCUUGAGAAGAAAAUGACAAUGAAAACAGGAAUUCCUACUGAGUCCUACAGUUCAAAUGAACACGUGAGGGCGAGAACAUGAAAGCUUGAUGGGAAUCUCCAGCUACACGUGACAAAACCAGAGAAGAGAGGAAGACGCUUCCUGUGAAACCAAAUCUAGGCAGCUACCCAGAAAGAGACCGAUCUAGCAAGAACACAAAAAUAAAAUCGUUCAACAAAA
Felis catus (domestic cat) is the source of this 1009-nucleotide long non-coding RNA. RefSeq lists it as uncharacterized. The record is from RefSeq and is a predicted model, not a curated record. The transcript has 3 exons. NCBI's taxonomy places the organism in Eukaryota, Metazoa, Chordata, Mammalia, Carnivora, Felidae.